This is a long non-coding RNA of Sinocyclocheilus rhinocerous, 852 nucleotides long. RefSeq lists it as uncharacterized. The record is from RefSeq and is a predicted model, not a curated record. The transcript is spliced from 3 exons. NCBI's taxonomy places the organism in Eukaryota, Metazoa, Chordata, Actinopteri, Cypriniformes, Cyprinidae.
UUUUGCUGCUGAUAUCGUUCCUAAUGAGGACGAGGAAGUGGGCGGGGCCAACCAUAUAUGGAGAAUGUGUGUGUGGAGAAGCGCGCGCAGUACCGCUCAGAAAUGUUUGGGGGCGCAGCUGAGCACUCCCUUCACACUCACACAUUCAUGGAUAAACGUGUGUUAUGGGCCAACGCUGAAACUCCACCCAGCACCUUCGCAACAGCUCAUCUAGUCAUUUAUUUGGCUUUCCCUUAUGGGGGCCUGACUUUUGGUCCCCACAACGCAAGAGGUCCCCAUGACCUGACUGUGUAAACAGACUCAUGUCCCCACAAUGUGAUGAAUACCAGAACACACACACACACACAGUCAUGCUGCACUCACACAUGAAAAAGAAAUCCAAAUAUGGUCAUGUCAAGGUUAUGCAAGCUCGUCACACAUUCACUUUCGUUUUGGAAAGUUUCAAGGCGUUGGCGAUUAAAUGGCGCACAAUCCAGGUGUUAGUAGUUAAUGUUGGCCAGUAGCCUAUUGAGGCAACUGCAAUGAAGCAUCAAGAAAGACAUGAGCAGGCCAUCCACCCUGAGACUGAUAAUUCAUGGGAACACAUUUCUGUCACUAACAAAGUGAAUAGCGAGCAAAGGUGGUGGCCAUGUUUUGGAGCAGCAUCUGGGUUUUGCAGAUGACUAUGUAUUCUUUGGCUGCUUAUCUUUUUCCCCCAUUAUGUUUCUGUUGCCUAAAGAUUCUUUGUGUGGAUAAAUCCAGAGAAUACAACAUAAUGCACUGCAAAAGGUCCUAAAACAGUAGAAAUGGUGAAGAUUAACUGUUCCAGCGUUGGAAGACUAUUUUUAAGUGUUAUACAUGCUAUGUUUUAAA